RNAcentral lists this long non-coding RNA (1033 nucleotides) under Nicotiana tabacum (common tobacco). RNAcentral's name for it is "long non-coding RNA (NTAB_LNC018608)". The record is from RNAcentral. Lineage: Eukaryota; Viridiplantae; Streptophyta; Magnoliopsida; Solanales; Solanaceae.
AAAGCAUACCUUAAAUUCCAAAUACACGAUAUAUUAUUUUUUCGUACAUCUAAUUUUUCAUAGCUUUAUAUAGCUGCAGACUGACUGAUUUCAUGAAAACGCUGUAAUAGAUUUCAACAAAGGUAGGGUAAAAGAAAUCUGAUAGCAAUUUUUUUUCCUUUUUUGAAUCUGAAAAUGGGCAUUACAAUACCACUAAAAUUUGAAGAUAAUUAGGUAAAUUAUAAGAGUAAAAUUGCUCCCCUAGAAAGAGAAAGCUACAACAAUUUUAUCUCAGGAAUAUGCAGCUUUUUCAUUAUGUAAUCUCACUGGGAGUUUCUAGGGCCAGAACUUGGUAGCUUUUCAUACUGCAAAAGAAAAAGACGGAUAAAGUAUAUAGCAUUUCAAAACUGUUUAUUUAUAAUAAAAAAAAGAAUAUUAAUGAGAUGAAAUUAGCUGACCUCUGUUUUCACUUGGUCCAUCUCCUUGAGCACUUGUUCAAUGAUUUUCUCUUGUUUUUCACUUUCUCUACAUGUAGAGCAUAGUAGAUUCUCCUUCCUUUCACUUAGCAAUUUGUUUCCCAAGCGGAGCAUUUCAUUUUCGAGUUUAAGUGCCUUGAUUUCAUUCCUCCUUUCGCUAAAAAUUGAAAGCACCAUAAAAAUUUAUUGAAGACACUGUAAAAUAUAUAACAAGAAAAGAAGAAAAAGAAAAAUGAAAUGGAAAAGAAACUCACUUUGAACUAGAACCCCGUUUUCGAGAAGCCAUUGAUUUAGAAACUAAAGCAAAUUAAGAAUAAAGUAGCUUUUUCUUUAGUUUGCUAUGUGACUUGCUUCUUGCAAGAGAAGAAAGUCCUUUAAAUAGAUUGUCUUCAUAAUGUUGUUACCAAAUGUAAGAUUCAAAAUUCAUAUUAUUGUAAUAGGAAAUUUAUGAAUCUUGAAAAUUUAGCAUAUCUUGAGAUAAUGGUAAGAAAUUCAUUUUGUUGCUCAAUUUUAUGAGAAUAAUUGAGAGUAACCUAGGAAGGCAUAGAUUGAGUUUCUAGAUCUUGAAAUAUAGGUAG